AUCCGGGUUGCGGACAGUGUCUGGUGGGUAGUUUGACUGGGGCGGUCUCCUCCUAAAGAGUAACGGAGGAGCACGAAGGUUGGCUAAUCCUGGUCGGACAUCAGGAGGUUAGUGCAAUGGCAUAAGCCAGCUUGACUGCGAGCGUGACGGCGCGAGCAGGUGCGAAAGCAGGUCAUAGUGAUCCGGUGGUUCUGAAUGGAAGGGCCAUCGCUCAACGGAUAAAAGGUACUCCGGGGAUAACAGGCUGAUACCGCCCAAGAGUUCAUAUCGACGGCGGUGUUUGGCACCUCGAUGUCGGCUCAUCACAUCCUGGGGCUGAAGUAGGUCCCAAGGGUAUGGCUGUUCGCCAUUUAAAGUGGUACGCGAGCUGGGUUUAGAACGUCGUGAGACAGUUCGGUCCCUAUCUGCCGUGGGCGCUGGAGAACUGAGGGGGGCUGCUCCUAGUACGAGAGGACCGGAGUGGACGCAUCACUGGUGUUCGGGUUGUCAUGCCAAUGGCACUGCCCGGUAGCUAAAUGCGGAAGAGAUAAGUGCUGAAAGCAUCUAAGCACGAAACUUGCCCCGAGAUGAGUUCUCCCUGAGACUUUAGGUCUCCUGAAGGAACGUUGAAGACGACGACGUUGAUAGGCCGGG
RNAcentral lists this ribosomal RNA (633 nucleotides) under Salmonella enterica subsp. enterica serovar Agona. RNAcentral's name for it is "partial 23S ribosomal RNA". It matches the Rfam family "Bacterial large subunit ribosomal RNA", at positions 2238 to 2865 of the family's 2925-position model. The record is from RNAcentral. Lineage: Bacteria; Pseudomonadati; Pseudomonadota; Gammaproteobacteria; Enterobacterales; Enterobacteriaceae.